This is a long non-coding RNA of Monopterus albus (swamp eel), 353 nucleotides long. RefSeq lists it as uncharacterized. Lineage: Eukaryota; Metazoa; Chordata; Actinopteri; Synbranchiformes; Synbranchidae. The record is from RefSeq and is a predicted model, not a curated record. The transcript has 2 exons.
AGGUGCAGGACAAGCGAUCAAAGCAGAGUUUGAAUGAGCCCAGCCGAUCCAGCAGCUCCAGUUCAGGGGCAGGCAAUACACAAGACCAUCGCAAAAAAACAAGAGUUGCUCCAAUGAUGGCAAAGUCCUUAAAAGCAUUUAAGAAACAGCUGGGACGCAGAUAAAUGGUCUUAUAUGAUGUUGAUGAUGAUGGUAUUUACAGUGUGUGUGGAUGUGGGGAAAGUGCACUCUAUUGUUUAGCUUUGGACAAUAUGCUCACCUUAUUCUGUGUUUGUCUAACACAGACAACUGCCAUAUUUUCUCUAACUGAAUUGACUUCGAUAUCAAAUGAUAAUAAAGUCAGCAAAUCCAUA